Molecule: ribosomal RNA, 244 nt
Filed under: uncultured bacterium
Lineage: Bacteria
Description: partial 16S ribosomal RNA
Rfam family: Bacterial small subunit ribosomal RNA
Source: RNAcentral
GAAGGCCCGAGCGUUAUCCGGAUUCAUUGGGCGUAAAGGGAGCGUAGGCGGGUGUUCAAGUCAGCUGUAAAAUCGCGCGGCUCAACCGCGCCCCGCAGUUGAAACUGGAUGCCUUGAGUGCAUGCGAGGCAGGCGGAAUUCGUGGUGUAGCGGUGAAAUGCAUAGAUAUCACGAGGAACCCCGAUUGCGAAGGCAGCCUGCCGGUGUGCCACUGACGCUGAGGCUCGAAGGUGCGGGUAGCAAA